This is a non-coding RNA of Arabidopsis thaliana (thale cress), 137 nucleotides long. RefSeq annotates it as other RNA. The transcript has a single exon. The record is from RefSeq. NCBI's taxonomy places the organism in Eukaryota, Viridiplantae, Streptophyta, Magnoliopsida, Brassicales, Brassicaceae.
GAGCUUGUUGCGGUGAGAUGUUGGCGAGUGAGAGAUACGCUCCGGCGACGAAGAGAGAAACGCCCGCCGCGAAAAAACCCACCGACACUACUAACUGCCGCCGUGUCGGCGGAUACGACAUAAAAAACACCAUCUUA